UAUUAUUUAAUGGUUUUAAUAGCUUUGGCAUGUCUGUAUAAAAUCAGCAGUAAUACGAAUUUUAGUUAUAUAGAAGUAAGAAAGCCCACAAAACUCUUGUUUUUCUAGGGUUUUUAAUAUAAAUGAUCACUGUUACAAACACCUAAUAAGCCCUGGUAAAUCUAAUAGAAAAUAUUACGAACAAACGUCGAAAAAAAACACUGAUAA
Non-coding RNA from Cinara cedri, 207 nucleotides. Lineage: Eukaryota; Metazoa; Arthropoda; Insecta; Hemiptera; Aphididae. The record is from the annotation of a GenBank genome assembly.